RNAcentral lists this ribosomal RNA (445 nucleotides) under uncultured bacterium. RNAcentral's name for it is "partial 16S ribosomal RNA". It matches the Rfam family "Bacterial small subunit ribosomal RNA", at positions 330 to 792 of the family's 1533-position model. The record is from RNAcentral.
UCCAGACUCCUACGGGAGGCAGCAGUGGGGGAUAUUGCACAAUGGGGGAAACCCUGAUGCAGCGACGCCGCGUGAGUGAAGAAGUAAUUCGUUACGUAAAGCUCUAUCAGCAGGGAAGAAAAUGACGGUACCUGACUAAGAAGCCCCGGCUAACUACGUGCCAGCAGCCGCGGUAAUACGUAGGGGGCAAGCGUUAUCCGGAAUUACUGGGUGUAAAGGGAGCGCAGACGGCAGUGCAAGUCUGGAGUGAAAGCCCGUGGCUUAACCACGGGACUGCUCUGGAAACUGUUAAGCUGGAGUACUGGGGAGGCAAGCGGAAUUCCUAGUGUAGCGGUGAAAUGCGUAGAUAUUAGGAGGAACACCAGUGGCGAAGGCGGCUUGCUGGACAGAGACUGACGUUGAGGCUCGAAAGCGUGGGGAGCAAACAGGAUUAGAUACCCGUGUA